RNAcentral lists this ribosomal RNA (253 nucleotides) under uncultured prokaryote. RNAcentral's name for it is "partial 16S ribosomal RNA". It matches the Rfam family "Bacterial small subunit ribosomal RNA", at positions 524 to 776 of the family's 1533-position model. The record is from RNAcentral.
UACGGAGGAUGCAAGCGUUAUCCGGAAUGAUUGGGCGUAAAGAGUCCGUAGGUGGCUCGUCAAGUCGAUUGUCAAAGAGCGAGGCUUAACUUCGCUAAGGCCGUCGAAACUGAGGAGCUUGAGAGCAGUAGGGGCAGAAGGAAUUCCUGGUGUAGCGGUGAAAUGCGUAGAGAUCAGGAAGAACACCGGUGGCGAAAGCGUUCUGCUGGGCUGCGACUGACACUGAGGGACGAAAGCUAGGGGAGCGAAUGGG